Molecule: long non-coding RNA, 345 nt
Organism: Microtus ochrogaster (prairie vole)
Lineage: Eukaryota; Metazoa; Chordata; Mammalia; Rodentia; Cricetidae
Exons: 2
Source: RefSeq, a predicted model, not a curated record
CGCAGGCGCAUUCUCGACUGGUAGCUGCGGCCUUUGUUUGGCGGUUCAACGGAGGCCACCUAGACUCUAUAGGAAAAUUUGACUUUCACUUCAACUGGAGAGAACCCUUCUGGCCUGUUUAAUGUUCCUAUUAACCAGCUGCCCGACCAGAAAUGAGUCUAGACUGGCUCAGCCAAGGACACUCAAUCAGGAACAAGGACCCAAGAGGAGCUGGGGCAAGUGGAAUCUUCCCAGUGGAUCCUGUACCACACUAUGAUGCUGCAGACCUUUGGUCCUCCCUGACCCUGAUGGUUUGCUCACAUUGUAAACUUUAGUUCUUCUGAAUUAAAAAUGGGUGUGGUGCUU